Molecule: ribosomal RNA, 1571 nt
Filed under: Lactiplantibacillus plantarum WCFS1
Lineage: Bacteria; Bacillati; Bacillota; Bacilli; Lactobacillales; Lactobacillaceae
Also listed under: 3 other names
Description: Lactobacillus plantarum WCFS1 16S ribosomal RNA
Rfam family: Bacterial small subunit ribosomal RNA
Source: RNAcentral
AUUAAUUUGAGAGUUUGAUCCUGGCUCAGGACGAACGCUGGCGGCGUGCCUAAUACAUGCAAGUCGAACGAACUCUGGUAUUGAUUGGUGCUUGCAUCAUGAUUUACAUUUGAGUGAGUGGCGAACUGGUGAGUAACACGUGGGAAACCUGCCCAGAAGCGGGGGAUAACACCUGGAAACAGAUGCUAAUACCGCAUAACAACUUGGACCGCAUGGUCCGAGCUUGAAAGAUGGCUUCGGCUAUCACUUUUGGAUGGUCCCGCGGCGUAUUAGCUAGAUGGUGGGGUAACGGCUCACCAUGGCAAUGAUACGUAGCCGACCUGAGAGGGUAAUCGGCCACAUUGGGACUGAGACACGGCCCAAACUCCUACGGGAGGCAGCAGUAGGGAAUCUUCCACAAUGGACGAAAGUCUGAUGGAGCAACGCCGCGUGAGUGAAGAAGGGUUUCGGCUCGUAAAACUCUGUUGUUAAAGAAGAACAUAUCUGAGAGUAACUGUUCAGGUAUUGACGGUAUUUAACCAGAAAGCCACGGCUAACUACGUGCCAGCAGCCGCGGUAAUACGUAGGUGGCAAGCGUUGUCCGGAUUUAUUGGGCGUAAAGCGAGCGCAGGCGGUUUUUUAAGUCUGAUGUGAAAGCCUUCGGCUCAACCGAAGAAGUGCAUCGGAAACUGGGAAACUUGAGUGCAGAAGAGGACAGUGGAACUCCAUGUGUAGCGGUGAAAUGCGUAGAUAUAUGGAAGAACACCAGUGGCGAAGGCGGCUGUCUGGUCUGUAACUGACGCUGAGGCUCGAAAGUAUGGGUAGCAAACAGGAUUAGAUACCCUGGUAGUCCAUACCGUAAACGAUGAAUGCUAAGUGUUGGAGGGUUUCCGCCCUUCAGUGCUGCAGCUAACGCAUUAAGCAUUCCGCCUGGGGAGUACGGCCGCAAGGCUGAAACUCAAAGGAAUUGACGGGGGCCCGCACAAGCGGUGGAGCAUGUGGUUUAAUUCGAAGCUACGCGAAGAACCUUACCAGGUCUUGACAUACUAUGCAAAUCUAAGAGAUUAGACGUUCCCUUCGGGGACAUGGAUACAGGUGGUGCAUGGUUGUCGUCAGCUCGUGUCGUGAGAUGUUGGGUUAAGUCCCGCAACGAGCGCAACCCUUAUUAUCAGUUGCCAGCAUUAAGUUGGGCACUCUGGUGAGACUGCCGGUGACAAACCGGAGGAAGGUGGGGAUGACGUCAAAUCAUCAUGCCCCUUAUGACCUGGGCUACACACGUGCUACAAUGGAUGGUACAACGAGUUGCGAACUCGCGAGAGUAAGCUAAUCUCUUAAAGCCAUUCUCAGUUCGGAUUGUAGGCUGCAACUCGCCUACAUGAAGUCGGAAUCGCUAGUAAUCGCGGAUCAGCAUGCCGCGGUGAAUACGUUCCCGGGCCUUGUACACACCGCCCGUCACACCAUGAGAGUUUGUAACACCCAAAGUCGGUGGGGUAACCUUUUAGGAACCAGCCGCCUAAGGUGGGACAGAUGAUUAGGGUGAAGUCGUAACAAGGUAGCCGUAGGAGAACCUGCGGCUGGAUCACCUCCUUUCU